GAUGAACGCUGGCGGCGUGCCUAAUACAUGCAAGUCGAGCGAACGGACGAGAAGCUUGCUUCUCUGAUGUUAGCGGCGGACGGGUGAGUAACACGUGGUUAACCUACCUAUAAGACUGGGAUAACUUCGGGAAACCGUAGCUAAUACCGGAUAAUAUUUUGAACCGCAUGGUUCAAAAGUGAAAGACGGUCUUGCUGUCACUUAUAGAUGGAUCCGCGCUGCAUUAGCUAGUUGGUAAGGUAACGGCUUACCAAGGCAACGAUGCAUAGCCGACCUGAGAGGGUGAUCGGCCACACUGGAACUGAGACACGGUCCAGACUCCUACGGGAGGCAGCAGUAGGGAAUCUUCCGCAAUGGGCGAAAGCCUGACGGAGCAACGCCGCGUGAGUGAUGAAGGUCUUCGGAUCGUAAAACUCUGUUAUUAGGGAAGAACAUAUGUGUAAGUAACUGUGCACAUCUUGACGGUACCUAAUCAGAAAGCCACGGCUAACUACGUG
This 497-nucleotide ribosomal RNA is filed under the name uncultured bacterium. Its description in RNAcentral is "partial 16S ribosomal RNA". It matches the Rfam family "Bacterial small subunit ribosomal RNA", at positions 28 to 507 of the family's 1533-position model. The record is from RNAcentral.